GAUGAACGCUGGCGGCGUGCCUAAUACAUGCAAGUCGAGCGAACAGACGCGGAGCUUGCUCCUCUCACGUUAGCGGAGGACGGGUGAGUCACACGUGGAUAACCUACCUAUCAGUCUGGGAUCACUUCGGGACACCGGCGCUAAUCCCGGAUAAUCUAUUGCACCACGUGGUUCAAUGGUGAAUGUCGGUUUUGCUGUAACUUCUCGCUGGUUCCCAGCCGCUUUAGGUAGUAGUUAAGGUAACGGCUUACCAAGGCAACGAUGCGUGGCCGACCUGAGGGGGUGAUCGGCCACACUGGAACGGAGACACGGUCCAUACGCCUACGGGAGGCAGCAGUAGGGAAUCUGCCGCAAUGGGCGAAAGCUUGACGGAGCAACGCCGCGCGAGUGAUGACGGUCUUCGGAUCGGAAAACUCUGUUAUGAGGGAAGAACAACUGUGUAAGUAACUAUGCACGGCGUGACGGUACCUGAUCAGAAAGCCACGGCUAACUACGUG
Molecule: ribosomal RNA, 497 nt
Filed under: uncultured bacterium
Lineage: Bacteria
Description: partial 16S ribosomal RNA
Rfam family: Bacterial small subunit ribosomal RNA
Source: RNAcentral